CUCCGAAGAGACAAAGUUUUGAAAAAAGUGAAGGCAACCUGUUUUACACAGGAGUUCUCUAACAGACACUGAAACACAGGCAGAUGUGGGAUUUUACUCUGUCUCACUGAGCAGGACUUCAUGAGCAGUUCAACAUGCAGAGCAAGCGCCUGUCUGAUUGAAGAAGUGCUCAAAAGAUCCUCUGCAGGUGUUGCUGAAAAGUUCUGGCAAUCAGCAUAAACACCAGCAGUGUAGGACUCCCCCGUCAUCAGGCUACGCAUUGACUUCAGCAGCUGGCAGCACCAUUUCUGAAAAACAGAGGCGCUUCAGAUGCUAAAGAGGCUGCUGUUUCAAGAGAAGGCAAACAUUUAGCUAAAAACCCCACAUGCCCAAUAUGAACCCUUAAAUGAUGUGAGCCCACCAUUAAAUCUGUUCAACACAAUCUGGAAAAGAAAUGAUCGAGUGUUCUGCAGAACCAGUACAUUAUUUUAGUCUGUUUAACAUGCUCCUCCUCCAUCAGAUACAUAACGAUUCAUUGGUGAACUGAAAGACAGGCACUGCUUUCAGAGUGUAAAACAUUUUUUAAAAAACUUUUUUGUAGCUGGCACCAACAUAAAAGGAUCUUUUCAAGCAAUUGUUCACCUUAAAAUCAGAUUUAUUGGGCUUUCAGUUCUGGACAUUCCCUGGGGUAAUCCAGCAAACCACUUUAGUUUCACUUUGUCUGUUAUGGUCUUUUAUUUUCUUGUAUUUCUAUGUUAGCUUUAUCGUUUUCUCCCUACACUGUUUUGGGCUGAAUCUGGUACAUUAUAUGGGUAGGCUCCAUUGUUAAGAUGGGCGAAGUGAACUUUAACUUCCUUUGCAUGAGGUGUCACUGGACAGUUGUUUCAAAUACUGUUUAAGCUGUCAGUCCAAAAUGUAAUCCAGCUACAACAGGACACAAGUUAGUAUCAGGUUUAAAGUUCUUUGCAGACUUUUUGUCCUUGGAUGUGCAGCUUGUUACCUGUGGCUCUUUAAUGUGCAGUGAUGUGCCUUGCUGCUUUUCAUAAUGUCUGAAACAAAACAAAAACACACACACACUAAACAAAACCCAAAAAGACAUAAAAACAAAAUUUUCCUUUUCGAUAAAGCAUAUAGUUAGGGCUCGAUCAGGUACAUUACGUGGGUUUUGCACAUUCAAUCACCUUCUCCACUCACUAUGUGUUUAUACAUCUCUCUGCAUUUAAUUAUUAGUUAUUAUUCAUCUCUGGCUCUCUUUGUCGUGUCUUCCCCCCUGACCUCUAAUAAUCGCGACAGACGGCCACUCUUCCAGGAGACAGAUUCUGCUAGAGGUUUCUUCCUGUUAAAAGGUUUUUCCUUUUUCCUUCCAAAUAAUGGGAAGUUGUCAGGGUUUUCUUUUUUUUCUUUUCUUUUCUUUUGUAUUAUUGUAGGGUCAUUACCUUAUAAUAAAAAGCGCCUUGAGGGAACUGUUGUUGUGAUGUGUCACUAUAUAAAUAAAAUUGAAAUGAAAAGCCCACAG
Molecule: long non-coding RNA, 1495 nt
Organism: Astatotilapia calliptera (eastern happy)
Lineage: Eukaryota; Metazoa; Chordata; Actinopteri; Cichliformes; Cichlidae
Source: Ensembl